This 133-nucleotide ribosomal RNA is filed under the name uncultured bacterium. RNAcentral describes it as "partial 16S ribosomal RNA". It matches the Rfam family "Bacterial small subunit ribosomal RNA", at positions 356 to 480 of the family's 1533-position model. The record is from RNAcentral.
GGGGAAUAUUGCGCAAUGGUCGAAAGACUGACGCAGCGACGCCGCGUGUGGGAGGAAGCCUUUCGGGGUGUAAACCACUGUCAGGGGGGAAGAAUCCCGGGUACUCGAAUAGGGUGCCCGAUUGACGGUACCU